Mytilus californianus (California mussel) is the source of this 462-nucleotide long non-coding RNA. RefSeq lists it as uncharacterized. The transcript is spliced from 2 exons. Lineage: Eukaryota; Metazoa; Mollusca; Bivalvia; Mytilida; Mytilidae. The record is from RefSeq and is a predicted model, not a curated record.
AUGAUUUGACCUGUUUAAAACAAAAUACAUUUAAUAUUGAAUAUACCAAAUAAACUUUUUUAUAGUCCUCAUUAUUGUGACGUAAGGGGACCUUAUUUCAUCUGGCUUUUAUCUGGCUUUCCCAUACAUUUUAAAAUCAAUAUGAAAAUCCUAGACUUAAAAGUUGAAAUAAGUUUAGUUUUGUUUGACUCUUUGAAGUCAGAACAUGAUUUGACCUGUUAAAGUCAGUUUACAGAACAAAAUUUCCAAUCAAAACUAGGUCUUCUUCCUCUAAGCCCCCCCCCCCCCCCCCCCCCCCCCCCCCCUCCCCCCCUUUUUCCCUUUAUCUGAAUCUGCUACUGUUUAGUUAAUUAAUCAUGUUAAUUGAUAAGUUUUUUUAGAAACAAUUCAGUCAAAUGGUCUUUAAAAUAAUAUUUUUUACAACCAAAAGUUCCAUGUGUUAACUUAACAGAAAAGAAAAAG